Molecule: long non-coding RNA, 1276 nt
Organism: Amaranthus tricolor (Joseph's coat)
Lineage: Eukaryota; Viridiplantae; Streptophyta; Magnoliopsida; Caryophyllales; Amaranthaceae
Exons: 3
Source: RefSeq, a predicted model, not a curated record
AACUCCUCCCAAACCCUAAACUGAGUCUUUGCGCCACGUGCUAAAACUAUGAAGAACAAUCGAUCUCCUCUAAACCCUAACCCAAGUUUUUGCACUCUCCUACAAAUUCGAAGAACAAUAAACGAUUGAAUGCAAUAUCUGAAGAUCAACCUCACAGAUAAUCGAGAAAAAAGGAGUUGUUCGUCUUUCGAGCACUCUAGCAUUCAUCUCAUCCUGUUGCGCCACCUGCUUCAAAGAAGACGCGGCAGAAUCGCCCCACUCCUUACUAGAUUCGCAUGUCUAUUAACAAACCUAUUAGGAAAUAAAAUGUGCAAGAUGCUGGAUGCUGUGCUGUUUAGGUGAUUCCAGCUCUGCUGUUGUUUGGACAGCAACAUGCUGGUGAUGGUGGUUAUUCCCUUGCCACUAUUGAAUGCUACUGCUGGGCUGAGGAGGUGCAGAUGGCCAACCCAAAGCUCUGGUGCAGCUGCCUGAUCCUAUAUUAUGUGAUAGGCGGAGUUGUUACUGCUACUAUUGAUGUUCAGCUGGGGUUGGAUGUACUUGAAGCACACGGGCAUCGAUGUUCAGCUAAUGUCUGUGGCUGUGUUGAAAGCCUUACACGACCAUAUUGUCUCUUUUUGUGUAUUAGAAUUGUAUAGGAGAAUCGUAUCAUAGUUAAAAUGCGAGGUUAUUUUAUUUUUUUUAGCUAUUUAGGGUACAAAUCCAUGAACUUGGUAAUGUAAUUGAUGGGCAACCUUGUCCCCAUUCUCACCAAUAGGGAUGCAGGCGGGGCGGGUCUAAUAGGAGACCCGCCCCAUCCCCGCCCCAUCGUGGCGGGGAUGGGUCCCGGUUUGAUGGGUCAUGGGGCGGGUACGGGUAUAAAAUUCAUACCCACCGCGGGGAUGGGGAUGGGGAUGGGUUUUAGGUGAUACCCGCCCCAUCCCCGCCCCGCGCCGCCUCACGAAAUGUACAAAUUUUGAGAAUUGGAAUACCCUAAAUUAUUUCUCAAAUUUCUGAAAACCUUGAAUUAUUUUCAAAUUUUUUUAAAAACUUUAAAAACCCCGUUUUUAUAUUUCUUUUAAGGUUUAAGAUCAUGUUUUUUAGAGUAAGGUUUAUAAUCAUAUUUUUUCUAUUUUUUAUCCUUUUUUCUCAAUAAAAUUUGUUUAUAUUCAUUACGAGUUGUGUAGAGGUAGGCGAUAUUAAGUGAUGAUUAGAUGGGGAUUUGAAAAUAAAUAUAUGACACAGAUGGGUAUUAAGCGGGGAUUUGACGGGUGGUGGGGCGGGUAAAAUGGGUAUUAGA